UGGGGAAUCUUGCGCAAUGCGCGAAAGCGUGACGCAGCAACGCCGCGUGGGGGAAGACGGCUUUCGGGUUGUAAACCCCUUUCAGUUGGGACGAAGCUUCGUCGGUGAAUAGCCGACUGGAGUGACGGUACCUUCAAAAGAAGCACCGGCUAACUACGUGCCAGCAGCCGCGGUAAUACGUAGGGUGCAAGCGUUGUCCGGAAUUAUUGGGCGUAAAGAGCGUGUAGGCGGUCCGAUCAGUCUGCUGUGAAAGUCCAGGGCUCAACCCUGGAAUGCCGGUGGAUACUGUCGGGCUAGAGUCCGGAAGAGGCGAGUGGAAUUCCUGGUGUAGCGGUGAAAUGCGCAGAUAUCAGGAGGAACACCUAUAGCGAAGGCAGCUCGCUGGGACGGUACUGACGCUGAGACGCGAAAGCGUGGGUAGCGAACAGG
RNAcentral lists this ribosomal RNA (429 nucleotides) under uncultured bacterium. Its description in RNAcentral is "bacterial SSU rRNA". It matches the Rfam family "Bacterial small subunit ribosomal RNA", at positions 355 to 776 of the family's 1533-position model. The record is from RNAcentral.